AGGAUAAACGCUGGCGGCGUGCCUAACACAUGCAAGUCGAACGCGCUUUCGGGCUUCGGUGCGAGAGCGAGUGGCGGACGGGUGAGUAACACAUGGGUACCUACCUUGGAGUGAGGGAUACCGGCGAGAAAUCGCCGACAAUACCGCAUAGGCUUCUUCACAAGGGAAGCAAAGUGACGCGAGUCACGCUGUGAGAUGGGCCUGUGGCCGAUUAGCUAGUUGGGGGGUAACGGCUUCCCAAGGCGACGAUCGGUAGCUGGUCUGAGAGGACGAUCAGCCACACUGGGAUUGAGAACGGCCCAGACUCCUACGGGGGGCAGCAGUGAGGAAUUUUCCGCAAUGGAGGCAACUCUGACGGAGCAACGCCGCGUGCAGGAGGAAGGUUUUCGGAUCGUAAACUGCUUUUCUCGGGGACGAGCAAGGACGGUACCCGAGGAACGAAGCCCCGGCUAACUACGUGCCAGCAGCCGC
This 471-nucleotide ribosomal RNA is filed under the name uncultured bacterium. Its description in RNAcentral is "SSU rRNA". It matches the Rfam family "Bacterial small subunit ribosomal RNA", at positions 26 to 518 of the family's 1533-position model. The record is from RNAcentral.